AUCUCACUUCUGUUCAGCAGGUGUAACUCUGCUGUCUGUCAGUUUAUCCUGUAUUUUAUUUUGAUGAAGAGAAAGCAUUAGGGAGGGGGGAAAAAAUCUCCUCAUCAAAAGCUCAACGGAGAUGCCAACCGGGAU
Long non-coding RNA from Cygnus olor (mute swan), 135 nucleotides. RefSeq lists it as uncharacterized. The transcript has 3 exons. The record is from RefSeq and is a predicted model, not a curated record. Lineage: Eukaryota; Metazoa; Chordata; Aves; Anseriformes; Anatidae.